UUUCCGUAGGUGAACCUGCGGAAGGAUCAUUAUUAGAUUUUUACCCUUAAUCUCUUCGGGGAUUAAGGAUAAACCUUCUAACCCUUUGUUUAAUUAAACCCUUUUUUUGCUUUGGUUUUUCGAAACCAACAAGCCUAAAAAAAUAAAUUCUUAAUAUCAAAUCUGAAUCUUUUAAUUAUCAAAUUAAAAACAAAACUUUCAACAACGGAUCUCUUGGUUCUGGCAUCGAUGAAGAACGCAGC
This 242-nucleotide unclassified non-coding RNA is filed under the name uncultured fungus. RNAcentral describes it as "sequence contains ITS1, 5.8S rRNA gene". The stretch from base 194 to 242 matches the Rfam family "5.8S ribosomal RNA", at positions 1 to 49 of the family's 154-position model. Lineage: Eukaryota; Fungi. The record is from RNAcentral.